This 468-nucleotide ribosomal RNA is filed under the name uncultured bacterium. Its description in RNAcentral is "partial 16S ribosomal RNA". It matches the Rfam family "Bacterial small subunit ribosomal RNA", at positions 28 to 507 of the family's 1533-position model. The record is from RNAcentral.
GACGAACGCUGGCGGCGUGCUUAACACAUGCAAGUCGAACGGAAAGGCCCUGCUUUUGUGGGGUGCUCGAGUGGCGAACGGGUGAGUAACACGUGAGUAACCUGCCCUUGACUUUGGGAUAACUUCAGGAAACUGGGGCUAAUACCGGAUAGGAGCUCCUGCUGCAUGGUGGGGGUUGGAAAGUUUCGGCGGUUGGGGAUGGACUCGCGGCUUAUCAGCUUGUUGGUGAGGUAGUGGCUUACCAAGGCUUUGACGGGUAGCCGGCCUGAGAGGGUGACCGGCCACAUUGGGACUGAGAUACGGCCCAGACGCCUACGGGAGGCAGCAGUGGGGAAUAUGGCGCAGUGGGCGGAAGCCUGAUGCAGCGACGCCGCGUGCGGGAUGACGGCCUUCGGGUUGUAAACCGCUUUCGCCUGUGACGAAGCGUGAGUGACGGUAAUUAGUAAAGAAGCACCGGCUAACUACGUG